AAAAAAUAUUAAUUUAAAAAUAAGAUCUUUAUUUGAUUACAAAUAUGAAAUAUUUAUAUUCGCUAGUAAUAUUGAAGAUGAUUUGUAUUGAUGAUGGAAUUGAUAGAAGGUAAAGUUAGUAGUUAGAAAUGGUGAUGAUGAUAGUUGUGAAAGUGGAUAUGAUUGGUAUUGUAGCGACUAUCAUGAUGAUGAUGAUUGAUAGCAGUGAUGAUAGUUAUAAUGGUGGAGUUGAUUGAUGCUAGUAGUUGACAAUGUUGAAGGUGAUAGGUGAUGACGUGUGGUGGUCGAAGUUGGUAGUUGAAAUUGAUUUCAAUAGCUGAUAGUAAUGGUUGUGGAGGUGGUGACAAUGGAUAUAAUUUCAAUGGAGGUGGUAAGAAGUAGUGUUAAUUAUUUGCAUUUAAAUAUAUAUUUGAAUAACUAAAAUGUUUCUAGAUUUGAAUAUGUAUAACUUAUUUAUCUAUAAACACAAUAAAAAUAUAAUGUAAAUAAUUAAUUAAUAAAAUAAAAAAAUAUUAAUUUAAUAAUAAGAUCAUUAUUCGAUUACAAAUAUAAAAUAUUUAUAUUCGCUAGUAAUGAUGAAGAUUAUUUGUAUUAACGCUGGUGAUGAUAGACUGUAGUGUUAGUAGUUAGCAAUGGUGAUGAUUAUAGUUGUGCAGUGGGCAUGGUUGGUGUUGUACCGAAAGCCAUGAUGAUGACGAUUGAUAGCAAUUAUGAUAAUUAUAAUGGUGGAGUUGAUUGAUACUAGUAGUUGGCGGUGUUGAUGGUGGUAGUUGAAAACUUGUGGUGGUUGAAGUUGGUAGUUGAAAUUGGUUUCAGUUGAUGAUAGUAAUGGUUGUGGAGGUGGUGACAAUGGAUAUAAUUUCAAUGGUAGAGAUUAUAGAUAGAUUACUGGUUAGUAGUGGUGUUGAUCGUCACGGUUGUAGGUGGUUCCUGGUGGUUGAUUAUGGUGGUCCUAACCAAGGUAGUUAGUGGUAGUGACAGAAGAUUGUCGAUGGAGUGAUGACGAAUAUUCUCCUAAAUAAGAAUACCUUUUUUGAUAUUAAGAUUUUAUUCUGGAUCUUAUUGAGUAAGACAUAUUAAAUGACUAAAUCUUAAUGAAAAUAAAUUCACUUAAUGAUUUAACUAAGGUCUCAAUCAUUCAAAUUCAAACCUCCAUUAAAUCUAAACAAAUGAAGCUUCUGUCAAAUUAUGUGAUAUAAUUCGAAUCAACACAAAAUUUCAAAAACAAAUAAAGAGUUUUAAAAUUUGUAAUCUUAAACAUAUAUCAUAGCAUUAAUGUGACUGUAAAAUUUUUGAAACAUAUAUCCUUAAACCUAAUACUUCCUUUGUCUCACUUUAUGUUAAGAUAUUCAGAUUGCAAUUGCAAAACACUUAAUAUAAAUAUAUAUGUAUGUAUCCGUCAAAUAUUUUAAAAUAAAUUUUACAUAUUUGAAACUAUAUGAAACAAAUGAUACAAGUCAACAUAGAUAAUAGUUAUAAAUUGAGAUAUGACACAAGUACACCUCACCCAGUCCCCUCUCCCCUCCUUCCACCCAAAAUAUACUUAAAAUUGCUAUGACACAUCUAAAUUUUAUUAUGAAUUUGUUUUUUUUAAAAUAUAUUUUUGUGCUCCUUUUUAUUGACAUGAUUGUUAAGUAGCAAAAUAUUUUUGUACUUAUUUUGUGUAGAAAAAAUAAGUUGGAGAGGGGAGUGGGGGGGGGGGGG
Molecule: long non-coding RNA, 1704 nt
Filed under: Capsicum annuum
Lineage: Eukaryota; Viridiplantae; Streptophyta; Magnoliopsida; Solanales; Solanaceae
Description: long non-coding RNA (CANN_LNC019370)
Source: RNAcentral